AGGACAUGGACAGAAAUUGGAGACUCAUUUAAGUUCAUGCAAAUAAUUUCUUUUAAUUUCCCACAAAAUAAACCAUUAAAUCUGACUAGGAAGCACUUGUCUAAAUAGGAAUUCAAAGUUCCAUCCUCAAUUUACUAGAAACUAACAAACUCCUUAGGGAAAUCAAUGAAGCAAGUAAUAUCUCUAAGUGAAGAUUGAUUUCCAA
Molecule: unclassified non-coding RNA, 205 nt
Filed under: Hevea brasiliensis (rubber tree)
Lineage: Eukaryota; Viridiplantae; Streptophyta; Magnoliopsida; Malpighiales; Euphorbiaceae
Source: RNAcentral